AUUUUUCUUGCGCUGGACGGUUGGAGGCGGAUGAUUGGAAAAGCUCCAGGUCCAGGUCGACUCGGAAAUAGUGGGCGCAUUGUUGAUACUCUUCAGGCGUUCGUUCAGAUAUCGGUUCGGAAUCGGAGGUCGGCUUUAGUUCAGUUGAAGUCGAAAAAUAAAUAUCCACGCUCCCCCACCAGACUCGAGUCGAAAGUGAAAUCCAACGUGAACGGUAAAUCAAACGCAAAGCGGCGACGACGCGCAAGAAAUAUUUUUUGAAUGGAUAGCAGCUGGAACGUGGCGACAAAACACGGUCCACAACUCCACUCCAAACAAAUCAAAUUCAAUUGCAAGUUUUAUUCAAAUCCCCAUUCAGUAAUUAGUAUCGCGGGCAGAUACUAAAGUGUCUAACAGUUCAAAACCCCAAAAAAAAGUGCAAUAAAGUUGAAAAAGCCAUCGAGCCAUUGGAGAAUUCCGUCGAGAAGAGGUACGAAUGCGAAACAAACAACAAUUUUGGUCUGUCAUAAAGUUUCGACUUCCUCGGAGAUUGCGCAAGAACAGGC
This 545-nucleotide small RNA is filed under the name Drosophila ananassae. RNAcentral's name for it is "GF27007". The record is from RNAcentral. Lineage: Eukaryota; Metazoa; Arthropoda; Insecta; Diptera; Drosophilidae.